CCUACGGGAGGCAGCAGUAGGGAAUCUUCCGCAAUGGACGAAAGUCUGACGGAGCAACGCCGCGUGAGUGAUGAAGGCUUUCGGGUCGUAAAACUCUGUUGUUAGGGAAGAACAAGUGCUAGUUGAAUAAGCUGGCACCUUGACGGUACCUAACCAGAAAGCCACGGCUAACUACGUGCCAGCAGCCGCGGUAAA
RNAcentral lists this ribosomal RNA (195 nucleotides) under uncultured Bacillus sp. RNAcentral's name for it is "partial 16S ribosomal RNA". It matches the Rfam family "Bacterial small subunit ribosomal RNA", at positions 338 to 524 of the family's 1533-position model. Lineage: Bacteria; Bacillati; Bacillota; Bacilli; Caryophanales; Bacillaceae. The record is from RNAcentral.